AUUGAACGCUGGCGGCAGGCCUAACACAUGCAAGUCGAGCGGAUGAAGGGAGCUUGCUCCUGGAUUCAGCGGCGGACGGGUGAGUAAUGCCUAGGAAUCUGCCUGGUAGUGGGGGAUAACGUCCGGAAACGGGCGCUAAUACCGCAUACGUCCUGAGGGAGAAAGUGGGGGAUCUUCGGACCUCACGCUAUCAGAUGAGCCUAGGUCGGAUUAGCUAGUUGGUGGGGUAAAGGCCUACCAAGGCGACGAUCCGUAACUGGUCUGAGAGGAUGAUCAGUCACACUGGAACUGAGACACGGUCCAGACUCCUACGGGAGGCAGCAGUGGGAAAUAUUGGACAAUGGGCGAAAGCCUGAUCCAGCCAUGCCGCGUGUGUGAAGAAGGUCUUCAGAUUGUAAAGCACUUUAAGUUGGGAGGAAGGGCAGUAAGUUAAUACCUUGCUGUUUUGACGUUACCAACAGAAUAAGCACCGGCUAACUUCGUG
RNAcentral lists this ribosomal RNA (484 nucleotides) under uncultured bacterium. RNAcentral describes it as "partial 16S ribosomal RNA". It matches the Rfam family "Bacterial small subunit ribosomal RNA", at positions 30 to 507 of the family's 1533-position model. The record is from RNAcentral.